GCUCAAUGGAAUAAUAUUUAAAUAGCUGCAGUAAUUAUAACUGUACAAAGGUAGCAUAAUAAUUUGUUUCUUAAUUAGAAACUAGAAUGAAAGAUAAAAUGAAUAAUUUACUUUAUUAAAAUUAAAAAUUUAAUUUUUAUAUAAUUUAAAAUAAUUAUUUAAAUAAAAUAGACAAUAAGACCCUAUAAAAUUUUAUUAUUUAUAAAUUAUAUUUAUUUAUAAAUAAUUUUAUUGGGAAAAUAAAAAUAUUUAUUAACUAUUUAAAUUUAAUUAACAUUUAUUUAUGAUUAAUAUAUAUAAACUUUUAUAUUUAAAUAAAUUACUUUAGGGAUAACAGAAUAAUUUUUUUAAAAAGUUCAUAUUUAUAAAAAAAUUUAUUACCUCGAUGUUGAAUUAAGAUAAAAUUUUUAAGAAAAAUUUUUAAAUUUAAGUCUGUUCGUCU
RNAcentral lists this ribosomal RNA (442 nucleotides) under Phanerotoma longicauda. RNAcentral describes it as "partial 16S ribosomal RNA". The record is from RNAcentral. Lineage: Eukaryota; Metazoa; Arthropoda; Insecta; Hymenoptera; Braconidae.